Toxorhynchites rutilus septentrionalis is the source of this 2096-nucleotide long non-coding RNA. RefSeq lists it as uncharacterized. The transcript has 3 exons. The record is from RefSeq and is a predicted model, not a curated record. Lineage: Eukaryota; Metazoa; Arthropoda; Insecta; Diptera; Culicidae.
AGCAUGAUUUCCUCUGCGUGUGAUAUGCGUAGUUUUGUUUUCACACAGCUACACUGAUAGUACCUCGGCGCAGUGUGUGCGUUUGUGGUGUGUCGGUUUAUAGAAUUGAAAUAUGCACGCGCACUGAAUUGCAUUCGAUUCGGGGGUUCAUUUCGUCGUGUGGUAGAUGCUAAGCGGAGCACCUUUUGCCUGCGUACGAUAGCGAUAGCGAUAGCGCAUGUUCGGCGCAGUUACUCCGUGUGAGCAUAUGAACUACACAGUGGAAAUUGUCCAUUGAGGUUAGCAGAAUCUGAAGGGUUCUUACUACAAACAUUUUUAUUCAUGAGAUGUUAGACUUUUUUCUGGGAAGGGGGAAGAUGUGUGGUGUGCACUUACUGUACAACUAAUGUUACAGCAACUGAAUGGUCAAAGCAUAUGUCAAACUGCCUUCAAUCGACAAGCGAUAGUCGACUGCGUCAGCGACAACCGGUUUCGCCGAGCACAGAGAAUGCCGCCAUCAUCGGUCCUCUUACAGAUAACGGACUUCGACGAGGUAAGACGUGUUUCUCGAGUGUGCUGGUUGAUUCUUUACUUGCUGUGGAUUUCACAGUUUCGAAAUGAUGAAAUAGCAGUUUACUUAAUUAUUUUAAAAUUUAAAACUGUAGAAUUAACGCACCUGUACUAUAAAAAUAAUGCAAUCCGAUAAGCAAAUGUGUUGAGAGGUUAUAUCGAAGCAGUGUCGUUCCCGUUCCCGAUCCAUGGAGCGAAUGCAUGGGAUAACUGAAAACGUCUCCGAUUAGUUUAUCUCAUUCGAAAUUAUUCUGUUCCGGCAUCGCGGGACGUGGUACUUCAACAUUUCGCUGAAGUAAACAAAACCUGUUCAGUAUGAAAUCGAUAAAAAACCACAUAAAAACUUACUUGAACUGAAAAAGCGGUAUAUUAUCGUGUUUACCGUCGGCACGACUUGCGAUUUUGUCUCUUUUCAGGAUUUUUGGAACUUUUAAAAUCGAGAAAUAUUGAAAAAACUUCAGUACUUCGAACUAAUUGAGGAUUUGUUAUUACUAACUUCGUUGUGUGUGUAACACAUGCGCUCUCCGUGUGUAUACACUGGAGAAAUAGUUUAGUAAAAGCAGCUAACAAAUCUUUAGUAGCAAAAACAUUGGUAAAAUAUACACAUUUUUUGUAAAUAUUACUAAAAUUGCGUAAAAAAGAUGUCAGACGCAAUGAAUGUUCCUACCAGGAAUUCGUAUAUUUUACUUCAUACCAUUAGUAAGUUUGUUUUUAUUGUCAUACCUAACAACUGUGAUGUGCGCACUUUGUCUUUUGUCUUUUGGAGACGAAGCGAUUCGGAGGUAAGCACUUUGUUUUUAUUGAAUUCAAUUAUGUAUUCAUCUCCCCCGAGAAUUUGUUUUCAUAUUUUCGGCGGGGAAAAUUGACCUAAUACCAUUUUUUUCUUUUUUAGUUGACCUUAAAAUUAUAUGCAGUACAAUCAUUCAUCAUAAACAAAUCGGAGAUAAGUAUUCGUUUUUUUUACAUCAUUACAUCAGUUACCUCGGUUGGGAAACUAUUUUCAUAUUCCCGCCAAGGAUAAACAUCAGUUAUAUUCUAUACAUUACAACACUUUUGACCUUUUUCCUUGUCUUUACAGCUGGCAUGAUCCCAGACUCGUAAUACUUAUUUACCAAAAACCAUCCAAGUUAUGGGAUUGAAGGUAACGGCGAGUUUGUCGCUAAGAUUGGAAUCUUUCUUCAACACAUCAUCGACCGUAAAAAACUUAAGGGACACGAGAGAGCAAAAUACGGAUGAAACGUGCUCAUUCUACCGUCACUCUGCUAAUCAGCUGCUAAUCAGCUAAUGCAAAUCAGAGCGAUGCAGCAGGAAGAGGAACGGGAACUUGCUUUGGAAAUGCUCAUCAAAUUGAGGUGGUUGAGGCUGCGAUUAAAAUUUGCCUCAUGUACGCAGUUUAUAGAAUGAUUCCAACGAGAAUUAUUGAUGUUGUUUAUAGAAUAAGUUAUUAGUAUAAUGUAUUCUAAGUAUGUAGAAUUAAACGCAAUCAAAUACAAUUUUUUAAAUUAAAAAUAAUCAUUAAAAAAUAUUGUCAUUAUCCCUGAUGAUUA